GCGGGGCGGGAUUGGUCAGGCUGUAUUUAGACCCGUUUUUCAGCGGGCCUCGCGGGAUGGACUUGUGCGGAAUUGGGCCUUUCGCGGGACGGGCUUCUUUGGUCUUGCGGGACAUUUGGGUGAUCCGUCAAAGUUCUUCACUUUAUCUCUUAACCAACCAAAAUAAAAGAGAGGCGAUUUGAUUAUUCUUCGAUUCAGCCACUUCUUCCCUUACGAGUUUCAUCCCUUUUCGAUCACUUGUCCGACAGAAAGUUCUUUGAUUCUUCACUUCGUCCCUUCCGAGUUUCGAUCAACAUCUCUUCUUCUAGUCUUCGUUUUGAAUCAUCUUGGAUUCUGCUAAGUUAUUCAUUAUCUUCUUCUCCUCAUCUUAGUAGAUCUUCCAUGGAUGAACACUGGUUGUUUAGAGACAGAAGAAAACUUGAAGAAACAAAACCGAUGCCAUUAAAGAAGAUAAACAAGCUAUAUGAUCAUAUUAUAUGUAUACGAACUCGAACCCCAAAUUGACAGAUCGUAGAAUCUUGACAUUGAAAAUAUCCUUUUUGGACAUGAUUUUUUUUUUUCAGUUUGAUUGCUCUGUUUUGUAUAUCAACUAAUUGGGCUUUAUGUUGUUCUGAAAUAAUGAUGAGCUUGCAAAUUUGAUAUGUGUUAUUGAAGUUUUUCGGUAUUGUUUUGAGAUACCUUUGUUCU
This is a long non-coding RNA of Brassica napus (rape), 687 nucleotides long. RefSeq lists it as uncharacterized. Lineage: Eukaryota; Viridiplantae; Streptophyta; Magnoliopsida; Brassicales; Brassicaceae. The record is from RefSeq and is a predicted model, not a curated record. The transcript is spliced from 2 exons.